AUACGGAGGGGGUUAGCGUUGUUCGGAAUUACUGGGCGUAAAGCGCACGUAGGCGGAUUGGAAAGUUGGGGGUGAAAUCCCAGGGCUCAACCCUGGAACUGCCUCCAAAACUAACAGUCUAGAGUUCGAGAGAGGUGAGUGGAAUUCCAAGUGUAGAGGUGAAAUUCGUAGAUAUUUGGAGGAACACCAGCGGCGAAGGCGGCUCACUGGCUCGAUACUGACGCUGAGGUGCGAAAGCGUGGGGAGCAAACAGGAUUAGAAACCCUAGUAGUCC
This 274-nucleotide ribosomal RNA is filed under the name uncultured bacterium. RNAcentral describes it as "partial 16S ribosomal RNA". It matches the Rfam family "Bacterial small subunit ribosomal RNA", at positions 523 to 796 of the family's 1533-position model. The record is from RNAcentral.